UUUCCGUAGGUGAACCAGCGGAAGGAUCAUUACUGAAUAACCAACUUGCAAGCCCUGACGUUGACCCGAACGGUCGUGCACGCCCCAGUACCCCCACACCCACCCAUCCCACCCCUCUGUGCACCACCGGGUACGCCCCACUCUUGCUUGUUUGGCAGGGGUCUUACGUUUUCACACACACUAUUAAUGCAAUAUAGUAUAUAUUGUUUGUUUUUGCGAUGACGCCAUCAAAACAACCUUCAACAACGAAUCUCUUGGCUCUCACAUCGAUGAAGACCC
Molecule: unclassified non-coding RNA, 279 nt
Filed under: plant metagenome
Description: partial contains small subunit ribosomal RNA, internal transcribed spacer 1, and 5.8S ribosomal RNA
Source: RNAcentral